Small nuclear RNA from Cercocebus atys (sooty mangabey), 62 nucleotides. Its record names the gene U7. It matches the Rfam family "U7 small nuclear RNA". From Rfam's summary of the family: Animal histone pre-mRNAs are spliced by a different mechanism than nuclear pre-mRNAs and self-splicing introns. This processing involves the U7 snRNP, which contains only one RNA species: U7. NCBI's taxonomy places the organism in Eukaryota, Metazoa, Chordata, Mammalia, Primates, Cercopithecidae. The record is from Ensembl.
AAGUGUUACAGCUCUUUUAGAAUUUGUUUAGCAGGCUUUCUGGUCUUUACUGGAAAGCCUCU